CGGGAAUGAAAAGUUCUUUUUAAUUCUUUGCUACAUGUGUACAAUGGAAUCACUAAUGACAGCUUCAAUUACAACCUGCGUUUGCAAAAGAUUUUGCAACCCGACGGCUAAAGGAGAGAUCCAUUUGAAGUACACUUGAAAUACACUGUCUAUGUUCUUGGCAAUGGAAGAAUGAGACUUUUUCUAUUAUUCAACUUUUGUUUACGGAUUAAAUGCUCAACAUGGUGUUAAUUUAAGCACACCUACGUCUUUUAGCAAUCCUGUUGCUGGAGGUAAUAAUAGUAUGGACAUGGGGGUAG
Olea europaea var. sylvestris is the source of this 299-nucleotide long non-coding RNA. RefSeq lists it as uncharacterized. NCBI's taxonomy places the organism in Eukaryota, Viridiplantae, Streptophyta, Magnoliopsida, Lamiales, Oleaceae. The record is from RefSeq and is a predicted model, not a curated record. The transcript is spliced from 3 exons.